RNAcentral lists this transfer RNA (75 nucleotides) under Acidobacteriota bacterium. Its description in RNAcentral is "tRNA-Gly". It matches the Rfam family "tRNA". From Rfam's summary of the family: Transfer RNA (tRNA) molecules are approximately 80 nucleotides in length. Their secondary structure includes four short double-helical elements and three loops (D, anti-codon, and T loops). Further hydrogen bonds mediate the characteristic L-shaped molecular structure. tRNAs have two regions of fundamental functional importance: the anti-codon, which is responsible for specific mRNA codon recognition, and the 3' end, to which the tRNAs corresponding amino acid is attached (by aminoacyl-tRNA synthetases). tRNAs cope with the degeneracy of the genetic code in two manners: having more than one tRNA (with a specific anti-codon) for a particular amino acid; and 'wobble' base-pairing, i.e. permitting non-standard base-pairing at the 3rd anti-codon position. Lineage: Bacteria; Pseudomonadati; Acidobacteriota. RNAcentral also lists the same sequence under 3 other names. The record is from RNAcentral.
GCGGGAGUAACUCAGUGGUAGAGUGCAACCUUGCCAAGGUUGAAGUCGCGGGUUCGAAUCCCGUUUCCCGCUCCA